AAAAAGAGGCAUGCAGGCAAAACAGCACGAUGUGUCUCGGAUGAAGAAGAAUACGGCUAAGAAUUCUUCGUCGUCGUCGCGAGAACGAUAAUAAAGCGAAUGCGAAUGCAAAGACACAGCGCCAGCGUCGAAAACACAAAAACCAGCAGGAGAUUGCGCUCAGAGCAAAAAA
This is a long non-coding RNA of Drosophila innubila, 172 nucleotides long. RefSeq lists it as uncharacterized. The record is from RefSeq and is a predicted model, not a curated record. The transcript has 2 exons. NCBI's taxonomy places the organism in Eukaryota, Metazoa, Arthropoda, Insecta, Diptera, Drosophilidae.